RNAcentral lists this non-coding RNA (22 nucleotides) under Rattus norvegicus (Norway rat). The record is from RNAcentral. Lineage: Eukaryota; Metazoa; Chordata; Mammalia; Rodentia; Muridae.
UAAGUGAUGUCGAGAAAGAGUC